GACGAACGCUGGCGGCGUGCUUAACACAUGCAAGUCGAACGGAAAGGCCCUGCUUUUGUGGGGUGCUCGAGUGGCGAACGGGUGAGUAACACGUGAGUAACCUGCCCUUGACUUUGGGAUAACUUCAGGAAACUGGGGCUAAUACCGGAUAGGAGCUCCUGCUGCAUGGUGGGGGUUGGAAAGUUUCGGCGGUUGGGGAUGGACUCGCGGCUUAUCAGCUUGUUGGUGGGGUAGUGGCUUACCAAGGCUUUGACGGGUAGCCGGCCUGAGAGGGUGACCGGCGACAUUGGGACUGAGGUACGGCCCAGACUCCUACGGGAGGCAGCAGUGGGGAAUAUUGCACAAUGGGAGGAAGCGUGAGGCAGAAACGCCGCGUGCGGGAUGACGGCCUUCGGGUUGUAAACCGCUUUCGCCUGUGACGAAGCGUGAGUGACGGUAAUGGGUAAAGAAGCACCGGCUAACUACGUG
This 468-nucleotide ribosomal RNA is filed under the name uncultured bacterium. RNAcentral's name for it is "partial 16S ribosomal RNA". It matches the Rfam family "Bacterial small subunit ribosomal RNA", at positions 28 to 507 of the family's 1533-position model. The record is from RNAcentral.